This 20-nucleotide unclassified non-coding RNA is filed under the name Mus musculus (house mouse). RNAcentral's name for it is "oocyte_clustered_small_RNA11136". Lineage: Eukaryota; Metazoa; Chordata; Mammalia; Rodentia; Muridae. The record is from RNAcentral.
CUCAUGGUGAAGGUAGAGGU